AGUGAACGCUGGCGGUAGGCCUAACACAUGCAAGUCGAACGGCAGCACAGUAAUAGCUUGCCCUUACGGGUGGCGAGUGGCGGACGGGCGAGGAAUACAUCGGCAUCUACCUUUUCGAGGAGGAUAACGCAGCGGAACUUACGCUAAUACCGCAUACGACCUACGGGCGAAACCAGGGGAACUUCGGACCUUGCGCGAUUGAAUGAGCCGAUGUCCGAUUAGCUAGUUGGCGGGGUAAAGGCCCACCAAGGGGAGGAUCGGUGGCUGGUCUGAGAGGAUGAUGAGGCCCACUUGAGCUGGGGCACGGCCCCAAGUCCUACGGGAGGCAGCAGUGGGGAAUAUUGGACGAUGGGGGCAAGCCUAUUCCAGCCAUACCGCGUGGGUGAAGAAGGCCUUCGGGUUGUAAGACCCUUUUUUUGGGAAAGAAAGGCGGCAGGUUAAGACCCGGCUGUUCUGACGGUACCCAAAGAAUAAGCGCCGGCUAACUUCGUG
Molecule: ribosomal RNA, 492 nt
Filed under: uncultured bacterium
Lineage: Bacteria
Description: partial 16S ribosomal RNA
Rfam family: Bacterial small subunit ribosomal RNA
Source: RNAcentral